GUACCGUGAGGGAAAGGUGAAAAGCACCCCGACGAGGGGAGUGAAACAGUACCUGAAACCGAACGCCUACAAUCAGUUGGAGGGCCCUUGCGGCCUGACAGCGUACCUUUUGUAUAAUGGGUCAUCGACUUGGUCUCACGAGCAAGCUUAAACCGUUAGGUGUAGGCGCAGCGAAAGCGAGUCUUAAUAGGGCGCAUGAGUUCGUGGGAUCAGACCCGAAACCGAGUGAUCUAGGCAUGGCCAGGUUGAAGGUGCAGUAACAUGCACUGGAGGACCGAACCCACAUCUGUUGAAAAAGAUCGGGAUGAGCUGUGCCUAGGGGUGAAAGGCCAAUCAAACUCGGAGAUAGCUGGUUCUCUGCGAAAUCUAUUUAGGUAGAGCGUCGUCCGAAUACCCCGGGGGGUAGAGCACUGGAUGGGUAAUGGGGACUCACCGUCUUACUGAUCCUAACCAAACUCCGAAUACCCGGGAGUACUAGACGGCAGACACACUGCGGAUGCUAACGUCCGUAGUGGAGAGGGAAACAACCCUGACCUCCAGCUAAGGCCCCUAAUUCAUGGCUAAGUGGGAAAGCAGGUGGGAUGUCCAAAACAACCAGGAAGUUGGCUUAGAAGCAGCCAUCUUUUAAAGAUAGCGUAACAGCUCACUGGUCUAAUUAAGACGUCCUGCGGCGAAGAUGUAACGGGGCUCAAGCCAUGAGCCGAAGCUGAGGAUGCACAUAGUGCAUGGUAGCAGAGCGUAGUGU
RNAcentral lists this ribosomal RNA (745 nucleotides) under Minutocellus polymorphus. RNAcentral's name for it is "partial Bacterial large subunit ribosomal RNA". It matches the Rfam family "Bacterial large subunit ribosomal RNA", at positions 498 to 1244 of the family's 2925-position model. Lineage: Eukaryota; Bacillariophyta; Thalassiosirophyceae; Cymatosirales; Cymatosiraceae. The record is from RNAcentral.